AGCCCAGCCCACCGAUCCUCCAGGCCCCAACCACGUUCGGAAACAAAGUUCCCACGACCCACGAAGUCACGAACAGACCCCCACGCCCCAUUCUCCCCCACGUCGCUCCCAAUCACGUCUCUCGCCAGACGUGAGAAAUUUCACCGCCGCCGCUCUACUCCUCAUUCGCCCCUCAUGGUCUUCGUGGAUGCAGUCCCGGUCGUGGGAGCACGGUCGCCGGGAUGGCAUACGUGCUGGAGCUUGGCCGCCGGGAUGGGGGUAGCGAGGCAGUCGAUCAGGGCGGCGAUGGCGAGGGAUGCUGUGGAGGCGGCAGCCUCAACGUGAAGAGAAGCGGCAGCCUCAUCUCUGGAGACACUGACAUCGAUCGAUCCCUGGAACCCACCUUCCUGCACUCCAAUGAUGCAACACGCCCAUGCCGCCUCUCCCCCCUCUAAGGCCGAUCUACUCGACGCGUCAAGGUUGUGGAGCAUACAUACUCGAUCAUAUGUCCCACGGGCAUUCUGUUAAUUUGCAGGAUGUACUCACACAGGUAUAACUUGGCGACUUGGCUUAUGGUAGACGACCUUUUCAUUAGCUAUACUCAGAUCAAAUUGUACUAUUGAGUUAGCAGUAAUUAAUGAUGUUGCAGUUAGUUGUAAUCAAUGAGGAAAAACAGGUCUGGGUCGUAUUGUGUUAUACCAAAAACCAUUGAAAAAUACCAAUUUCAGAAAUAACGAGUUGCAUAUUAAGCUGUUUAGGGUACACAAAUCUAUAUCCACACUGUAAUUAAGGAUGAUAGUCCAGGUUUCACCUUAAGUCUGCGGCAAAGCUAUUGGAGUGAAUACAUUUUGGUGAGCAUCAAGCUUCUUAUUUUCUGUAUGUUCAGUAUGACGAUAAUCAAAAUGCUAACUGUUUAAGGUUCUCUUGCAGAUGUAAGUGCAAUAACUUCAUUCCUUGACAUUUAUUUUGGGAGGCAGAUGGCCUUGAUGCCGUAGCAUGAGUUGGUGUUGGCCAUAUGUAGUAAGAUGUAUUGAGACUCAGAUAUUGUAUGCUUUCCAAUACCUCUAUAUAUGAUAUGUACAUCUACACGUAUCAAAUUUGCUUCUUUUUCUUAAAUUUAUCUCUUGACUUCUCUUCCAAUGCCAUUGCAAUAUUUCCAUUUUCACUUUACAUUAGUAGAAAUAAAUCGUGCCUCUUAGUCAUGAGAUAGUAUUGAUCGCCAUGCUCUUAUGGUGAUUAUCUGACAAGUGUUUUAUUUCAAAUGUUGUGUUGUAGUUCAGAUCUUGACAAGGUUGAUCAUAUCUUGGAUUUAAUCUUGCUUAGAUAUUUGUUACAAGUAACUUAUAUAGUUCCAUGUUCCACUUCUACUAUAGUUGGCAUUGGCAACACGAGGAGUUUGAUAUUCUACUGGAUGCUCGACUAUCGGAAAGGCAGGUUCUCUAUAAUUUUGGUGUAUUGGAGUCCUCUUCAGUUUGUGUUCUUAGUGAUGUAGUUCUUUGAAGAGACUAAAUAUAUGGGUGAUUUUAUUUAUCGGCAGUGAGCCGUCAACGGAUUUAAUUUAUGUUCGCUUGCUCCAAUAAGGGUUCACAUCGAGGUAUGCUUGCUAAUUCUUCCCUAAGAUACUUUCUAAGUGGUACUUAAUUUCUAGGUACUUCAAGGACUUUGACUUUGUUAGUUAAAAUUUUCAUUUUAAUCCAUGUGAUCAAUUUUUGUAUGGGCAAUGCAAGUUCAUAAAAUAUUUGUUUUUCUUGGUACUUGUUAGGUUACUACAUGUGAGAUUAAUUGAACCCCUGAUUAUAAGUUUUUCUAUUUGAUCUGCUACAUUGGCAUUAUGCUUGGUUGUGGAAGUGCAUGGCAAUCAUAGGUCACAUUACGCCAAUUGUGCUUGUUAGGGAAUGGUUUUUGGAGACGUGCGUACUGGUUAGAGGCCACAUGAUGCCAAUUGUGCAUGCAUAAUUGUACAGAUUGAUUUUGGGAGACCUGCGUGGGAUGCUCGACUCUGGCUUGAGCCUAUGAAGAUGUUCCCCACAACCUGAAGAUGUGAACUACGCUGCUGCUCCCGGUUUGAUAAUAAAUGAAGGUAUGUCUAAUUUGGAUCUUAACUAGAGCACCAACGUAUGCUUCUAACAACUGUGUGAGAAAUUAGCACAACUGAAGUAUUUGACUCAUCUAUAGAUUGACAUUGUUCUAGCUUACUCCUUCAGUGCGUACACCUGAUAAUUGAGAUUUGGACCCCCUUUUGUAAUGAUAACACUGUAAUCAACAAUUGAUUGAGGAUCACUUGGCAAAUAAGUGGGGAUAUUGUCACUCAAUAAGAUUGCAGUUUGUGAAGUU
Molecule: long non-coding RNA, 2313 nt
Organism: Triticum urartu
Lineage: Eukaryota; Viridiplantae; Streptophyta; Magnoliopsida; Poales; Poaceae
Source: RefSeq, a predicted model, not a curated record